This 199-nucleotide long non-coding RNA is filed under the name Carica papaya (papaya). RNAcentral describes it as "long non-coding RNA (CPAP_LNC001190)". The record is from RNAcentral. Lineage: Eukaryota; Viridiplantae; Streptophyta; Magnoliopsida; Brassicales; Caricaceae.
AGAGCAUUUUUUUUAGGAGUUACAAGAACCGAAUUCCCAAGUUAAUUGUUUUCCUCAUAAAAAACUUCACUAGCUCUUCUUCAUCCUCAUCAAACUUGUAACCUGAUAUCUUGUUAAACUUAAUCUUGUAUGGAUCAGGAACAAAAAUAUCAAGUUUGUUUUUCAAGUGAAGCUCUUACUGAGAUGUGUGUGAAGCCAU